This 1270-nucleotide long non-coding RNA is filed under the name Nothobranchius furzeri (turquoise killifish). RNAcentral describes it as "lncRNA (ENSNFUG00015023381.1)". The record is from RNAcentral. Lineage: Eukaryota; Metazoa; Chordata; Actinopteri; Cyprinodontiformes; Nothobranchiidae.
UGGCAUAAUAAAUGCACAUGCCAAAUAGCUAAAUGUUCGAAUAAUUUGCAUUUACAGUAAGCAGUAAUGACUUUUCUAUCUGAGUUUGGAAAGCACCAUGUGGAGCCAGUCUGCUGCAUGUUCAUGCUGUCAGCUGGAAAUGUUGAUUAGGUGUUUUGUGGAAUUACUGCGUGAAAUUGGGUAAAUAAUAAGGUUUUAAAUUGUAUCCUGCAUCAAUUAACAUUAUUUUGUGUUUGUAGUUAUUUCUCUGAAAUGUGUUAUUUUACAAUGGCACCACACAAAAAUUAUUUUAAAAACUAGCAUCCUAAUUAUUUGAAAUGUGUGCUGUAAACGUCGACUAAAAGCAAUUGUGCAUUAGAAAAUUCACUUCAUCCUUUAAUUAGUAAAAUUUAAUCCAACAUUAAUUAAACUUUCAAUGUGCUGUGAUGAAAUUAACAUUUUAUUAGAAUGAAGGUAUAAAAAUAACUACAAAAAUAAAAUGGAAGCAACUGGAACGUUUCAUUAUGAACUCGACAGUGUUCUGCAAUACUUUUACUUUAUUUUAAAUUUUUUAUUCUGUGCAUUAACUUACAAAAUUGAAAGUAUACAAAGCAUCAAACACAUUUUAAGUGUGAAGUUGGUGUUUUCAUAGUGACUAAGCAGAAGUUUACAGUCGGUGUGGAAGCCAACACUAAACUCAUGCACCACUGCUGCCGAGUGAAAAAUGUGCCCUUUUAUCAGCAAACACGAACAAAUUAGACCGACAAAAGCCCAAAGUGUAACUAAUGGUGAAAUACAGUCAGGAUUUAGUUCAAAACAUCCCAUAAUCAGGGACACGUUAGCUAUACAAACAUUGAGAUUAUAGUGCUCGAGUUUUCUUUUUACUGUGCAGAAGCUGGUUGGCCAAACCGCCCCCAUGCGACAUGAAUCAACACACUAACUCAUACACCUAAAACUGUGCGUAAAAUAGUUGUUUUCAAGUGCACUUCCAAAAAUGACAGCAAAUGUGUGUGUAAGUGGUCACUUGUCAGUCGCUUGUGAGUCGCUUUGGACAUAAGCGUCUGCUAAAUACAUAAACAUAAACAUAAGUUGGACUACAGACAAACUCACCAAGGGUUCAAUUAUUUUACAGGGCAUGCGACCCAGACUCUAUCUGCAGGUUGUGUGAAGCACUGACAUUAUAUUAGUACUGGUUAGACUGGUCUUCAAACCAUAAACAAAACACAAGACCAUCUGAGUCCAAGAGUCUGAGAAGCAAAGGAAAUAAUCUUACUGAAAAAACAUAUUUUAG